This 253-nucleotide ribosomal RNA is filed under the name uncultured bacterium. Its description in RNAcentral is "partial 16S ribosomal RNA". It matches the Rfam family "Bacterial small subunit ribosomal RNA", at positions 524 to 776 of the family's 1533-position model. The record is from RNAcentral.
UACGUAGAGGGCCAGCGUUGUCCGGAAUUACUGGGUGUAAAGGGCGUGUAGGCGGGACUGCAAGUCAGAUGUGAAAUUCCCAGGCUCAACCUGGGGGCUGCAUCUGAAACUGUGGUUCUUGAGUGCUGGAGAGGAAAGCGGAAUUCCUAGUGUAGCGGUGAAAUGCGUAGAUAUUAGGAGGAACACCAGUGGCGAAGGCGGCUUUCUGGACAGUAACUGACGCUGAGGCUCGAAAGCGUGGGGAGCAAACAGG